Molecule: ribosomal RNA, 437 nt
Filed under: uncultured archaeon
Lineage: Archaea
Description: bacterial SSU rRNA
Rfam family: Archaeal small subunit ribosomal RNA
Source: RNAcentral
UUAGGCUUUCGGGGGAAUACUGCCAGACUUGGAACCGGGAGAGGUAAGAGGUACUACAGGGGUAGGAGUGAAAUCUUGUAAUCCCUGUGGGACCGACCUGUGGCGAAGGCGUCUUACCAGAACGGGUUCGACGGUGAGGGACGAAAGCUGGGGGGCACGAACCGGAUUAGAUACCCGGGUAGUCCCAGCCGUAAACGAUGCUCGCUAGGUGUCAGGCAUGGCGCGACCGUGUCUGGUGCCCGCAGGGAAGCCGUGAAGCGAGCCACCUGGGAAGUACGGCCGCAAGGCUGAAACUUAAAGGAAUUGGCGGGGGAGCACAACAACGGGUGGAGCCCUGCGGUUUAAUUGGACUCAACGCCGGACAACUCACCGGGGGCGACAGCAAUAUGUAGGCCAAGCUGAAGACUUUGCCUGAAUCGCUGAGUAGAGGUGCAUGG